Molecule: long non-coding RNA, 4492 nt
Organism: Peromyscus californicus insignis
Lineage: Eukaryota; Metazoa; Chordata; Mammalia; Rodentia; Cricetidae
Exons: 2
Source: RefSeq, a predicted model, not a curated record
GAUGAGAAUGAGAAUGAGAAUGAAGACAAGCAGUGGCAGCCCCCGACGGCCACGGAGGGAAGGCUGGUGGUUUUCCUUAGAAUGAGGCCACUCGUGCAAACACAAAGACCUGCUGGUCUCACUCGGGGGCAAUCCUCAGAUUUCAGUCCUUCAUGAAUUACGUGUUUUUUUGUUUGUUUGCUAUCCAGACGUCAGCUGCACUAUUUCUUAGUUUUUCCUCUAACCAGACCUAUCAGAACUAUAAACAUAUUUUAAAAGGAAAUUUCAUUUCAUUACCAUAAAUGGGAAAACAGUGCCACUUCCCAUAAACUGGAAGUGACUAUAAAAUUCAUACAAUCUUAUUAAAUUCUGUCUGUAUUGUUACCUGCAAAGGCUCCUUAUUACAAGGGAAGAUGAGAGAGUAUUGGAAAAGAUUUCUUUACAGGCUGGGAAGAUGGUUCAGUUGGUAAAGUACUUGCUUUGCAAGCACAAGAACCCGAGUUCUAUCCCCGCCUCCACCACAAAAAAAGCUUGGCACGGUGGGGCAGCACGCUUGCGACUCCAACAACAAGGCGAGGCCAGGAUCCCUGGGGCUGGCUGACUAGUUAGCCUAACCUAGUCAGCCAGCUCCAGGCCAAGUGAGAGGCCCUGCCUCCAAAUUUAAAAACAAAAAUACAAAAGCAGAAAAACAGACGGUGACUGAGGAAUGACGUCAGCACCCGCCCCCCAACCAUGUACACACAAACGAGAAAGGUUUAUUCUCUCAAGUAGAAAUACCCAGGAAUUUAGCACGGUCUGAUUCUCCCACCCCAAGACUGGGGCCCCACGGAGGCCAACCAAGCGCUCUCCACUCAGCUGUAUUCCUAAUACUGUCGAAUUUUAGAGUCUCCAAUUUUGUUUCCUGUAUACCUCCUGACAACCUUGGAAGGUGACUGCAGUCUGCCUUAGGCCAAGGAGUCAAGCUUUCGAAAGGAAUUAUUUGUCCAUUUCCAGAAGGCUGGAGACAGCUAUGGGGGGACUGGGGGAGGGAGGGAGGGAGGAAAUGGACCAUGGGCUCUGAAGUAGGGAGGGGGUCCCCACUGUUCCUGAGGCAGGCUCCCACAAAUCCAGAGCGAAGCUAGAGCGCAGAAGCCUGGAAACAUACCAGCUUUCUGGAAUCCUAGCUUUCAGUCAGCUCCCAAUGCAAACUUAGCUUUGGAUAAUCCAAUGGUGCCUCAGAGGCACAGCCCAGUCUCUGCCAUCCACACUGACCUUCCCACUGUCCUUCAGUUACGAAGCAGCUGAAUGCCUCUGUUCCUUUCUCUGCCCAUGCUGGCAGGGCAGCAGAAGGUCUGGGUGAGCAGGGAAAACUGUAGGGCCUCUGCCUCUGGAGACCAGGAGGAUUUUGUGGCCAUUGUGUCUUUGGAAAGGAUGAGCACUAUACACACAUACUUUUGUGUAUGUACAACAGAAUGUGAUUAAGCUUGUUAAUUAUGAAAUUAGAAUCCUUUAGAGCUGUGCUUUGCUAAUAUGAAAGCUACAAACCACAUGAGGCUACCAGAUUUUAAGUGAACUAAAAGAUUAGAUUUAUGAUUAAUUCAGACCCUGGUGCCACAUUUCAAAUGCCCAGUAAUACUUCAGCUAGCGGUUAGGCUUUUUAGCAGAAGUUGAGAUUUUAUUUUUAUUUUCAAUUGUGUAUACACAUCUGUGCAGUGCCUGGGAAGGCCAGAAGAGGGUGCUGGGUCCCCCGGGAGCUGGAGUCAGGUGGUUUUGAGCUGCCCUGUGGGUGCUAGGAACUGAACUGGGAACUAGGGUCCUCUGCAGGAGCAGUCUGCACUCUUAACGGCCGAGCGAUCUCUCCAGCCCUCAGGGGGAGUGGAAAGCACACCAGUGACUAUAAACGGCCCUUUUGAGAGGCCUGGGGUCUAGAGCAGCAGAGAAAUGGGGUAGAGCCUGGAGGGAAGCAAGGUCUGGACUCAGGCUCUCAAAGAUGGGUAAGGGUUUGUGGACGGGCUGAGGUCAGUAAGCCGAGACAGGCUGCAAAAGAGAGGCAAGGGGGAGCAGAUGAGGAGACAACCGGUCCUCACACACACAGGGGAGGAAAGAUGCUUCCUUCAUCCUUCCCGACAGAGGCAAGGUAGGCAGGUCUGGUCUGGGGAAGAUCAAGUCUUUGUUCUCUCAAGUGGGAAGGGAGUUACCAGUUUAGAGUGCCAACAGUGAUUCCGGUGGAAUCUGAAGCAAAGGUCUGGAAAAGUACUCUCAAAGGAGAAAACGAAAAUUGUCAGGAAAGCGUUAAUAAAGGACAAGAAUGUGGAGAGGACCACUGAUGCUCCACUCAGACCUUCACGACGUCCUACUGCUUCUGUGGUAAAGCAACAACCUACAAGGCAGGCCCUCUCGGCAAACAGCUGGCACAGGCUUGCCCUCUCCUUACUCCCUGCUCAGCCACCAGACCAUCUCUCAGUCCCUUUACUAGCUCUGUCCUCCCACCGCAGGACUAGAGACGCACAGCUGCCCCUGGGUGUCCAAGGGAGAUGGUUCUAGGAUCCCCAAGGACACCAGACUCACAGAACACUCAAGUUCUUGAAAUAAAACAGCACAGGAUUUGCAAAUAAGCCAUGCACAUUCUGCUGCGUGCCUCCAUCAUCUCUAAUAACUUACAAUACACAAUGUGGUGGAUGUACUAUAUAAGAAGGUUACCUUAUCUGGUUCAGGGAAUAACAGUAAGUACCUGCAUAUGUUCAGUACAGACACUAUCAGUGUGGGGGGAUGUUGCUUAAGACUAAACCCAGGUGUAAUUAAAAGGAAAUCUAGUCUACACUUGGUUAAAUUGAUAGAUGCAGUACCAAUGGACACAGGCUAUCUGUCUCCUGUCCUGAAUCCUUUGUUUCCUCUCAACCAUCGUAAGUGAUGCCUGAGCAUCACGUCUUGGGAGGAAUCCUCCCCUAGGGAGUGAAGCUGGGUCACAACAGAUCCUUAUUCAGGGCAGUCCAGCCCUUCCACAAGACUUAGCAAAUGUGAUCUCACACUUCCCCAGUGACUGCAGGCCACUAUGCUAACAAAAGGGGCUCUACACACAAGUGUGAAGUAAACACGGCAGAAACCAGUUAGGAUGUACCAGAUGGCAGAAGACGCUGGCUUAGACCAGGUACUAACACCAAAGUGAAAAGCAGAGGGAACUUCGCCAGAAACUAAAUGUACCCAGCAGAACUCAGGGACUGUUUAGUGGGAAAGGAAGGCGUAAGUAUCCUGGGGUUUUUCCCCAACUUCACACAAGUUCCAGCUAUCUAGGAAGAAGAACCUCAACUAAGAAAAUGCCUCCAUCUAGACUGCCUGUAGGGAAGUCUGCAGGGCAUUUUCCUGAUUAAAGAUCCACGUGGGGGGGCCUGACCCACUGUGGACAGUGCUGUAUAGGAAAGCAGACUGAGCUUUCAGCCACCUGACUUCCGUCAACAACGGACUAAGUGGAAGCUGCUGCUUUUGGUCAUGGUGUUUAUCAGCACUAGACAUCCUACCUAAGACAGACUUGAGGGUGGGAAGCAGUGGCACUGUUUACUGAGAUCCUGAGUCUUGGAUCUCUGCCUAGGACAAGUCAUGCAGGUGUCUAUCUGAUCAGGAGUGAAUGCAUGCAACCGGAUACAGGGAUCCGGAGCUCUGAGAGGUCUGUGGGAGAGACACCGUCAGCACUUUCCAGCAUUUAGACAACAUGUAAAAGCCUACACGUUGGUUAAGGUCACAAGAAAGAGAGGGAAGAGUGGAUGCAGCAUAAUUCACACAAAGGAAAGGCCAGAUGAGAUGGAAAUGAAAUAGCUGCUGAAUCAGCAUCUGCCUGCCCAGGACAGCCGCACGGCAGGUCCAACGCGGCUACAGUCCCAAGGCAGCUGCACCCUCACAUCUUCAAUCCCAGCUCCUAAGUUCGUAUGUCCCAGGUGAAUGACUGAAUUUCCAGGAAUCCAAGGACGAUCCCACUAUCCUGUGACCAGGCUUAAGGAAGGGAGGCUGGCUGUAGGGAGAGACAAGAGGCCAUGUCCUCUUUCCCAGCCAGCUUCCACACAGGACAAAGGUACCCUGAAGUGGGGGUGCUCGGGAACUCUUCUGGGCUCCGUUAGUUUGGGGGCUCUUAACUGGGUUAUGAUCAUCAAAGGGCUAAUGUUUUUUAUUGUUUUAAAAGCUCUAGAAGACGAAAGAGUAACACUCUAAAAGAAAAUGGGGCAUGUCAAAUGAGGCAAUUCAAUGAAAUGCAAAUACAUAUGGACGUGAUAACAUCAAGGACAGCACUACUAAAAAAAGACAAAUUUAAAAUAGCAAGAUAAUAGUUUUAAUUAUAAGUUUUGUUUUUUUUUGUUAGUGGAGGCACACACAUAUGGUGCAUGUGUGGUGCCCAGAGACAAUCUGUGGAGAUCAGUCUCUCUCUCUGGGUCCUAAGGAUAGAAUUCAGGUCAUCAGGUUGGUACCCUUACUCAAUGUGCCAUCUUGGUGGUCCAAAAGGUAAUUAAAAAAAUUAGAAUUUACACACACAUACACACACACACAC